Long non-coding RNA from Eriocheir sinensis (Chinese mitten crab), 3027 nucleotides. RefSeq lists it as uncharacterized. NCBI's taxonomy places the organism in Eukaryota, Metazoa, Arthropoda, Malacostraca, Decapoda, Varunidae. The record is from RefSeq and is a predicted model, not a curated record. The transcript has 4 exons.
UAAAAAUAGCGAUGAAUUCAAGGGUAUUGAUAUAUUCACAUCGCAAUUAUAGGUUACAUAGGCAGUGGGUCCAAAGUACAACACUAGAUUAAAGAUGUACGACAUUAGUCACUUGCAUGGGCGUGGGGUGAGUCUUUUCAACGGGUCUCAUUAAAGAACUUCUGUUACGUCGCUUUUUUGUCGUAAUAAAGUUUCUCUCCUUCUUUUACUCCACAUUUUCUAUUCGUGCUAUGAAUUAAGGGUCGUUAAGGAGGUGAGGUGGUCCAGUAGCUGAAGGCCGUCCACGCCGUGCCGGCCACGACAACCAGCGAGUCUUCCUUCGACAAGUUGGCUCCAAGGAAGGGCGGGGGGAUUGGGGUCUUGGGGCUGUAGUUUAGGACACCAUCGCUUCUCACAUCAACUAUUUCUGAAGGUCAAAGAGGGGAGCAAUCGGGUCUUCAUGAGGGUCUUGCGGCCGGACGCUCCAAGGUGGCGGUAACCUGGCCCCGGCGACGGUCGUAAUUAAGUCGGUGGUCACGUCGUCGAGGCUUUACACCUGCAACUCCUUGUCGGCAAUGCUCUUGCUGUACAGGUGACCCGUUGGAGAGUCAGGCCUUCGUACCGACACACCUGUCAAAAUAAAACAACACAAGCAGUAUAUCCAUUACAAAUCUUCCAAUUCCCUAUUUCUUGCACAGCACAUCUUUUCCAGAAAACUCUUCAUGGCUUCUAUAAUUCUAUCAUUUGCUUCAUCACUCAGGCCCAGCAGCAGCAGCAUCCAUUCCCUCUCUGUCCUUGCAAUCCUCCCAUUCACAUCCCCGCAGCCCACCUCACUCAGUGCCGCCCUCACAUCUCCGUCCUUUCUCUCCGGUGCCUCCCACACACCAGUAUCACAUGCACGACAGCUUCCUCCACACCCCUGUCACACAUCUGACACACUUUGCUGCGGGACUCAGACCACCUGUAGUUUCUUACAUUCACAUUCGUACAGGCAUUUUUGGUCUGGGUCCGGCGCCCUUCUCGCGGCAGUCUUCUGCGCGUCCGUCUUGUAUUGCCGCCUGGGUACAACAUGUGCUCGGCGCCAAUAAAACAAGAAAUGUCAGAUACAGACAGCAAGAUUUGGAGCCGGGAGGCCGAGGCGGCAUUACUAGAAGAAGUGAGGCAGCACAGAUACUUGUGGGAGCCACAAGAUAAGCGUGUGAGAAGCUGAGUCUGCGCAAAACAACGUUUGAGAGAGUGGCAGCAACAUACGAGAAAUGUUGAUCUCUUUGCGAGGCAUCGAAGGAGGUAAGGAACGAUUAUUUUCGUGUAUUAUAUAAUCACACUAUUUAAUGCCUGGGAUGGCAUGUUCCUCCCUUCUCCUUUGUUGUUAAAUGCAACAAUGAACAAUCAAUCAAUCAAUACUACUGAAGGUAAAACUCGCUUACUUAAAGUAUUUCCACAAUAUUAGCUGAUGGACCAAACUCAUUGUGGUUUUAAUAUAUGGUAGUACUAGUAGCCUUUUGGGGUGUCUGGGAUGAAUUCAUGCCCUUGCAUUUACUAGCAGUCUACGUCUUGAUGCUCCCGGCCUCUCCUCCCACGCGUGAACGUACUUGCUCCCGAGGGUACGAGCUGGUCUAGCCGCUAGAUCGUCGCGGCUGUAUUGCCGACCAGGAAUUGCCAGGUGUGAAGCCGUCUUAAGUUUGCUCCGCGCUAGGACCGUCCUCCGCAGCGAUGCACAGCGCGGUCGCAGCGGGGUGUUGAGGGUCAGCCCUAUGGUUCACGAGUGAGGCGGUAGAGGGCGGGCAGCUCACCAGGUGAUGUGAUUGCAACCAAUGGAAAUCAUUGAAACAAAAAAGACAGCCAAUCAGGAUCAAGGAAGGUGAUUGCAAAAAAAACGGCGCCAGCGACGAAAACUACCGCGAGUCAGUAUUUCCUCAAGUCCGUACAGCCAAGCUAAGAUGGGGAAGACUAGUGAGUAUUGGCCGGAGAGGAGGUUGCCGUGCUGGCGCCGGAUGCUCAAAGGUGGUGGUAACUUAUCCCCGGAGACGGUUGUAAGUCACGGGUCGCGUCGCGAGUUUGCUCCCCGCUAGGAUGCUCCUCCGCAGCGAUGCACAGCGCGGUCGCCGCGGCGUGCUAAGGGUUAGCCAUAUGGUUCAUGAGUGAGGCGGUAGAGGGCCGGCAGCUCACCAGCUGAUGUGAUUGCAACCAAUGGAAAUCACUGAAACAAAGAAGACAGCCAAUCAGGAUCGAGGAAGGUGUUUGUAAACAAACGAUGGAAACUUGGGCAUUUGGUGCGGGGCCGCCUAGCCACGCUUCCCUACUUCCUUCCAUUCUUCCACCGACUGUUGCAGUGGCAACACCUGACCUCGUAGAACCCGACCACUCCUCACACCAGUCAUCCGCGCCUCACUUGGCCCUUCCUCAAGAAGACGCAAACACUCCAACUGUUGCUCCAACUCCUCUCCCUGGACGUGACGUGACCAUCUGCGCCUCACUUGCCCCUUCCUCAAGAAGACACAAAAGGAAUGGAGGGGAAGAAACCCAUCAUGGGCCAUCGUGGGAUUCCAAACCCGGACCAAUUGGCGCUGACACAGGAAUACCAGGAUGCUGCAACACCUGCAGAGGAGGAGGAGGAAGAGGAGUGGAGGCAGGUGCAGCCCACCACCGAGGUUAUACCAGUGGAUAUGCCUGCGGCCCUUAAUGACCAUUUAUAUGUGGCAUUUAUGGGCACCCCAAGACAGGCAUCAAGGCCCAGGCCCUCAACGACCCACCACCCCUAUGCCCGCCCAGCCAACCACACUCCCACCCGCCCAGCCAGCCACCGGAGAACUGCACAACAUCCUGCACAGGACAUUAACCUACUGGAGCAGAUGUUUGAAGUGCAGAAGACACUCAACACUUCGGUGGAGAGGAUGACCGACAGGCUGGAGCAAGCGAUUGCUCGCGCUGGUUCGGAGAUUGCAGCUGCUAUACGGUGUGCUGCAGGUAAACUGCCACAGUAAUGUGCAUGUUUAUCUGCAGCACCCGCCUGCAGAGACCUCAUGUUUGACAGCUUGAGGUCUCUGC